AAGUCGUAACAAGGUCUCCGUAGGUGAACCUGCGGAGGGAUCAUUACUGAGUUUUUAACUCUCCAAACCAUGUGAACUUACCACUGUUGCCUCGGUGGUCGGUGCUGGAAACAGUGCUGCCACCGGUGGACUACUAAACUCUUGUUAAUUUUUGUCAAAUCUGAAUCAAAACUAAGAAAUAAGUUAAAACUUUCAACAACGGAUCUCUUGGUUCUGGCAUCGAUGAAGAACGCAGCGAAAUGCGAUAAGUAAUGUGAAUUGCAGAAUUCAGUGAAUCAUCGAAUCUUUGAACGCACAUUGCGCCCAUUAGUAUUCUAGUGGGCAUGCCUGUUCGAGCGUCAUUUCAACCCUUAAGCCUAGCUUAGUGUUGGGAGACUGCCUAAUACGCAGCUCCUCAAAACCAGUGGCGGAGUCUGUUCGUGCUCUGAGCGUAGUAAUUUUUUAUCUCGCUUCUGCAAGCCGGCCAGACGACAGCCAUAAACCGCACCCUCUCGGGGGGGCACUUUUUUAAUGGUUGACCUCGGAUCAGGUAGGAAUACCCGCUGAACUUA
Molecule: ribosomal RNA, 551 nt
Filed under: uncultured fungus
Lineage: Eukaryota; Fungi
Description: eukaryotic LSU rRNA
Rfam family: 5.8S ribosomal RNA (bases 188-341)
Source: RNAcentral